GGCGCUAUAGUGUAGUGGCUAUCACAACGGAUUCUGAUGUUGGCUGUUUUCCGUUAACCCAGGUUCGAGCCCUGGUAGCGCCU
Molecule: non-coding RNA, 83 nt
Organism: Russula brevipes
Lineage: Eukaryota; Fungi; Basidiomycota; Agaricomycetes; Russulales; Russulaceae
Source: the annotation of a GenBank genome assembly